This is a non-coding RNA of Drosophila virilis, 1064 nucleotides long. Lineage: Eukaryota; Metazoa; Arthropoda; Insecta; Diptera; Drosophilidae. The record is from RefSeq and is a predicted model, not a curated record.
UCAUACUCAUAAAUACUGUGAUUAGUUUUUAUUUGCUUUUGCUUGUGCUACAAAUUUGUUAACUGUUCACAAAUAUUUUGGCUACAUGUUGUUGGCUUGUUUUUUGUCAAGAUUAGUUGUUUUGUUGCUGUGGCCUCAGUCAUUGACUUAAAUAAGUCAGUUCAUUUUGAAAACUUUGUAGACGAAAUGCAUUUGGCUUUGACAUUAAAAGCUGAUCAAAAGUUAAGCAGCCAAUCGAAAACGGCGGGACAGACACCUCGAAAGCGUUGUUCAAAACUCUGACAAAACAAACAAACCAUUUGAUACCCGCCGGCAGUUGGUGAGGGGUGCGCGGAGCAGAGCAAAGGCGAAUGCGAAUGCGAAGGGUAGCUGUGGUAGUUGUGGUCUGGCAAAGUGCUGCCAAAAACGUGGGUGCCGCCACUGAGUUGCCUUGUAAGUGUUGCCACAGAAGUGACACAGCAAACGACCUCCAGACACACACACACAGAGAGCCAGUCAGAUGGGAACCAGUUCCAGAAGCACUUCAGAGCGAGACGCGAGCGUUGCGACCGCCGCGAGGACCGCAACAACCUGACCAGAAAAAGUGCUCAACAGCUGAUGACUGAGGACGAUGUCGACUGUCAACACCGCAGCCAACACCAGCUCGACUAGCUGCCCGUGCCCCGCCAGAACUCCCGACUGUCUUGCAGCCAUUUCAACUUUGGAAUUUCAAUAAGGCCCUGGACGUAGCAGAGUGAAAAUGCCGCAGGUGGUGACGGUGGGCAUGAAAGGGACGCAAUGGGCAACGUCAACGGCAAGGCAAGCAAAUAAGCCAAAAAGUAAAUACAUAAAUUAAAAGUGUUAAGGCGGGAAAUGUUCAAUGCGUGAAUUAAAUGAAAUUGUGUGCUUAACAACUGAAUAUUUGAGUUAAAUAUCGUCAUGGAGCUGCAGCUUUCUUCCAAUGACACAAUUGAAAAUCAACAAUUUUGCAUUUUAUUGUUGAUACAACAUUUGUUAUUUGAUAUUUCGCAAAUUUAAUGGCAUUUAAAUAUAUUUUUGAAUAAGCGUUCCGAGUUUAAACUUAA